This 1274-nucleotide long non-coding RNA is filed under the name Fukomys damarensis (Damara mole-rat). Its description in RNAcentral is "lncRNA (ENSFDAG00000026019.1)". The record is from RNAcentral. Lineage: Eukaryota; Metazoa; Chordata; Mammalia; Rodentia; Bathyergidae.
GUUCGUUUGACACCAAGGUGCUAUAGCAUACUAUAGUAUGUGUUUAACCACCCUGGCCUCAGAGAGACCCGGGUUUAAGUUCUCACUAAGUCACCUAAGUAAUAAGGUUAACUAAGCGAGUCACAUGAAUUGUCCUUUCUCAACGCCUCAGCUUCUAGCUCUGCAAAGCAAAGAUCUAACGAGAGCGCGGGAGUGGAAGCCCCCAUGGUCACUCUGCGGAAGCCCCUCAGCCCAGCCUACCCGGUGCCGCAGUUCACUGCUUGGUGGUAUUUCCGAGGCUGGCCGGGCCCUCUGCUGCUGACCCUGGAAAUCGGGUCACACUACACAAGUCGGCAUGUGCGGGGCGGGCGGGGGCUUUUUUUCGCCCGGCUGCUAGCGUUUCCCUCGGGCCUCCGGAGAGUCUAAAAACUCACUUCGGAGGAAGGGAAAGAGCGUGAAGUGGCUCUUUCGAUCUGAGACACCCCUUCCCGGAGAAAUCGCCCCCUCCCCCAGCCCAGCGCGGAGUGAAACCCUAGAAGCCGCGGCGGCUGGGUUUGAACGGAAUGCCGGAGUCGGUGGAAGCCGGAGCUGGUCGGCCAGAAGUGUGUCUUGCCACCAACGCUAGCCCCUGCUUUGAACUCGGGAUGACAGAGCGUGGAAGCCCCGCUGCCCUGGACACUGCUGGUGACGCGGGGGCCCGGGCUGGCAGCCGAGGCCAGGGAAGGAAGGCAGCAGCAUGCCUGCCUCAAGGCAGAACACUCGCCUUUCCCGGAACCUGAAACCCAGGGGAGCCGCUGCCAUCUUCGCGUGACGAGCAGCGAGACGCCGGUGAUUAAGUGUUUCUUUCCGGCUCUCCUCCUUUCCACAGGGCUAGAAGAAUAAAACCUGCUGAAAAAAAAACCCACACAGGACUGCACUCUCCAUUCGCUCUCCACCUUCAUACUGGUCUCCCAGGGUGCGUGGAGACUCUGAGGACUGGAUCCCAGAGCCGUAGGCCUCAGUUUCCAUUCUCUUGGGCUCAAAUCUCAGUUUAAUGAAGGGUGCACACAUUGCUGAAGCCUCUGGACCCCAUCUCCUCACCCCCCCCCAUAGGGAUUAAACCUAAACACAAGAAUACCCACCCACACCCGGGACUAAUCCUGCCUCGCCUCCUGGGAUUAACAGGGCUCACAGGUUCAUAAAACGCUUCCGGUGAGGCCAGAGGGUCUGUCUGCAGAAACCCUUUAAAACUGUCCACCAGGGCCUGGAGUCGGAACUGACCCCGUGGAGGGAAGUGAAUAAAUAGACAAUCCAAU